This 300-nucleotide long non-coding RNA is filed under the name Elaeis guineensis (African oil palm). Its description in RNAcentral is "long non-coding RNA (EGUI_LNC021730)". The record is from RNAcentral. Lineage: Eukaryota; Viridiplantae; Streptophyta; Magnoliopsida; Arecales; Arecaceae.
UUUUUUUUCUUCUUGCACUCUUCCAUCUAAUAUCUUCACUUUGCUUAAAUCACUCACUUCAACUAACUUGCCUUUUAUUACUUAAUCCUUGUGGUUCUAGAUUAAUUUUAAAUUUUCAAAAAUCUAAUUCACCCCCCCUCUUGGGUUGCAUAGCUGGGUAACAAGCAUAUUAUAAUUAUGAAAUCUGACAGAUGAAUGUGAAAAUUAUUUUUCUAAAUAGAUAUAUUGAGGAAGAUAUCUGUAUGAAGUAACCUAUGGGUUUCAUCUCCAGUGAUAGUGAUCAUAAGAUCUGCAAGCUAC